RNAcentral lists this ribosomal RNA (490 nucleotides) under uncultured bacterium. RNAcentral describes it as "partial 16S ribosomal RNA". It matches the Rfam family "Bacterial small subunit ribosomal RNA", at positions 28 to 523 of the family's 1533-position model. The record is from RNAcentral.
GACGAACGCUGGCGGCGUGCCUAACACAUGCAAGUCGAACGGGACCGGGGGCAACUUCGGUUCAGUGGCGGACGGGUGCGUAACACGUGAGGAACAUGACCUUCGGCGGGGGAUAGCCGGCCCAACGGCCGGGUAAUACCGCGUACGACCAUUUGGGGACAUCCUCGAGUGGUGAAAGCAGCAAUGCGCCGAUGGAGUGCCUCGCGGCCUAUCAGCUAGUUGGUGGGGUAACGGCCUACCAAGGCGACGACGGGUAGCUGGUCUGAGAGGAUGGCCAGCCACAUGGGGACUGGGACACGGCCCAGACUCCUACGGGAGGCAGCAGUGGGGAAUAUUGCGCAAUGGACGAAAGUCUGACGCAGCGACGCCGCGUGUGGGAUGACGGUCUUCGGAUUGUAAACCACUGUCGGGAGGGACGAAUACGCCGCAAGGCGGGUGACGGUACCUCCAAAGGAAGCACCGGCUAACUCCGUGCCAGCAGCCGCCGUAA